Molecule: ribosomal RNA, 776 nt
Filed under: uncultured Neocallimastigales
Lineage: Eukaryota; Fungi; Neocallimastigomycota; Neocallimastigomycetes; Neocallimastigales
Description: partial large subunit ribosomal RNA
Rfam family: Eukaryotic large subunit ribosomal RNA
Source: RNAcentral
AGAGAGAGACAUGCGCGCAUAUCAAUAAGCGGAGGAAAAGAAACUAACUAGGAUUCCCUUAGUAACGGCGAGUGAAGCGGGAAGAGCUCAAAUUUGAAAUCUUCAAGGUUUUACCUUGACGAAUUGUAGUUUAAAGAAGUGUUUUCCGCUGAAGUUUUGGUAAAAGUUCUUUGGAAUAGGACAUCAUAGAGGGUGAGAAUCCCGUAUUUGACCAUUAUUUUCAGCUUUGUGAUACACUUUCAAAGAGUCGGAUUGUUUGGGAAUGCAGUCCAAAAUGGGUGGUAAAUUUCAUCUAAAGCUAAAUAUUGGCGAGAGACCGAUAGCGAACAAGUACCGUGAGGGAAAGACUGAAAAGAACUUUGAAAAGAGAGUUAAACAGUACGUGAAAUUGUCAAAAGGGAAGCGUUUGACACCAGUGUUGUUUUCCUCGAAAAUCAAUUAAAAAUGGCUCGAUUUUGUAUUGCUUGAGACCUUAAAAGCUCACUGUACAUUUUUCGUGUCUUUUUAAUGCACUUUUCGUUUAACAAGUCAACAUCAGUUUCUUUUGUUGCAAAAGGGUCAUUGGAAGGUGGCUUUCUUUUCGGAGAAAGUGUUUAUAGCCUUUGGCCUCUGCAAUCGGAGAGACUGAGGUCUGCAGCGUAGACUCUUCGGGGUUAGAUACAUUUGUGCUAAGUUAUAGCUUUUUAUAGACAACUUGUUGACUAUAAUUAGUCUUGUAGCUUACUCGCUUAUGCUAUUUUACCUACGCUUAGGAUGUUGAAGAUGUAGCACAUCAU